This 478-nucleotide ribosomal RNA is filed under the name uncultured Planctomycetales bacterium. RNAcentral's name for it is "bacterial SSU rRNA". It matches the Rfam family "Bacterial small subunit ribosomal RNA", at positions 364 to 832 of the family's 1533-position model. The record is from RNAcentral. Lineage: Bacteria; Pseudomonadati; Planctomycetota; Planctomycetia; Planctomycetales.
UUUCGCAAUGCCCGAAAGGGUGACGAAGCGACGCCGCGUGUGGGAAGAAGGCCUUCGGGUUGUAAACCACUGUCGGGAGUUAAGAAAUGUAGGGAUGUUAAUAGCAUUCUUGCUUGACUAAGGCUCCGGAGGAAGCCACGGCUAACUCUGUGCCAGCAGCCGCGGUAAUACAGAGGCGGCAAGCGUUGUUCGGAAUUAUUGGGCGUAAAGAGCACGUAGGCGGCUGUGUAAGUCGGUUGUGAAAGCCUUCCGCUCAACGGAAGAACAGCAUCCGAUACUACAUGGCUUGAGUGCGGGAGGGGAGAGUGGAACUUCUGGUGGAGCGGUGAAAUGCGUAGAUAUCAGAAGGAACGCCGGCGGCGAAAGCGGCUCUCUGGCCCAUAACUGACGCUGAGUGUGCGAAAGCUAGGGGAGCAAACGGGAUUAGAUACCCCGGUAGUCCUAGCCGUAAACGAUGGGCACUAAGUAGAGGGGUUUU